RNAcentral lists this transfer RNA (74 nucleotides) under Chloroflexota bacterium. Its description in RNAcentral is "Chloroflexi bacterium tRNA-His". It matches the Rfam family "tRNA". From Rfam's summary of the family: Transfer RNA (tRNA) molecules are approximately 80 nucleotides in length. Their secondary structure includes four short double-helical elements and three loops (D, anti-codon, and T loops). Further hydrogen bonds mediate the characteristic L-shaped molecular structure. tRNAs have two regions of fundamental functional importance: the anti-codon, which is responsible for specific mRNA codon recognition, and the 3' end, to which the tRNAs corresponding amino acid is attached (by aminoacyl-tRNA synthetases). tRNAs cope with the degeneracy of the genetic code in two manners: having more than one tRNA (with a specific anti-codon) for a particular amino acid; and 'wobble' base-pairing, i.e. permitting non-standard base-pairing at the 3rd anti-codon position. Lineage: Bacteria; Bacillati; Chloroflexota. The record is from RNAcentral.
GUGGGCGUCGCCUAGUGGCCUAGGGCGCCAGGUUGUGGCCCUGGUAUUCGUGGGUUCGAAUCCCACCGUCCACC